Small nuclear RNA from Ursus americanus (American black bear), 107 nucleotides. Lineage: Eukaryota; Metazoa; Chordata; Mammalia; Carnivora; Ursidae. The record is from Ensembl.
GUGCUCACUUCAGUAGCACCUCUAUUACAAGUGGAACAAUACAGAGAAGAUUAGUGUGGCCCCUGAGCAGAGAUAACACACAAACUCAUGAAGCAUUCCAAAUUUUU